AUUGAACGCUGGCGGCAGGCCUAACACAUGCAAGUCGAGCGGAGCGGCGGACGCGUGCGUAAUGCCUAGGAAUCUGCCUGGUAGUGGUGGAUAACGUCCAGAAACGGGCGCUACUACCGCAUCCUCUCACAUGAGCCUAGGUCGGGUUAGCUAGUGGGUGGGGUAAAGGCCUACCAAGGCGACGGUCCGUAACUCGUCUGAGAGGAUGAUCAGUCAAAAUGGAACUGGGAAACGGGCCAGAAUCCUACGGGGAGCAGCAGUGGGGGAUAUUGCACAAUGGGGGACAGGCUGAUGCAGCAACGCCGCGUGAGUGAUGACGGCCUUCGGGUUGUAAAGCUCUGUUAAUCGGGACGCGGUACCGGAAUAGAAAGCAACGGCUAACUACGUGCCAGCAGCCGCGGUAAUAC
RNAcentral lists this ribosomal RNA (407 nucleotides) under uncultured bacterium. RNAcentral's name for it is "partial 16S ribosomal RNA". It matches the Rfam family "Bacterial small subunit ribosomal RNA", at positions 30 to 526 of the family's 1533-position model. The record is from RNAcentral.